This 206-nucleotide long non-coding RNA is filed under the name Phoenix dactylifera (date palm). RNAcentral's name for it is "long non-coding RNA (PDAC_LNC016239)". The record is from RNAcentral. Lineage: Eukaryota; Viridiplantae; Streptophyta; Magnoliopsida; Arecales; Arecaceae.
ACCAGUUUUGGAGAAGAGAGUCCUAAAAAUGAUACUUAGGAGAAGCUGCAUUUCAGCCGAAAGCUGAUUUGCGAACACCUCCUCUAUGGGGGACAGAGGUGGAUUCCCUAAGAUGGCCGUAAGGGCCUCUGUCCUAUCUGAGGGGUGUGUGGGAACGAUCCCCUCACUGGAGAGAUGGAGGACUCGAGCAAUGAAGUACUCGGAAA